This 253-nucleotide ribosomal RNA is filed under the name uncultured bacterium. RNAcentral's name for it is "partial 16S ribosomal RNA". It matches the Rfam family "Bacterial small subunit ribosomal RNA", at positions 524 to 776 of the family's 1533-position model. The record is from RNAcentral.
UACGUAGGGCGCAAGCGUUAUCCGGAAUUAUUGGGCGUAAAGAGCUCGUAGGCGGUUUGUCGCGUCUGCCGUGAAAGUCCGGGGCUCAACUCCGGAUCUGCGGUGGGUACGGGCAGACUAGAGUGCGGUAGGGGAGAUUGGAAUUCCUGGUGUAGCGGUGAAAUGCGCAGAUAUCAGGAGGAACACCGGUGGCGAAGGCGGGUCUCUGGGCCGAUACUGACGCUGAGGAGCGAAAGCGUGGGGAGCGAACAGG